This 97-nucleotide transfer RNA is filed under the name Ustilago trichophora. It matches the Rfam family "tRNA". Rfam says of the family: Transfer RNA (tRNA) molecules are approximately 80 nucleotides in length. The record is from Rfam by way of RNAcentral. Lineage: Eukaryota; Fungi; Basidiomycota; Ustilaginomycetes; Ustilaginales; Ustilaginaceae.
GGGUCUUUAGCUCAGCAGUAGAGCGGCAGACUUCGGUAUCAAUCGAAGACCCAUCUUGGUAUUCUGCAGGUCGCGGGUUCAAUCCCCGUAGGACUCU